UAGAGUUUGAUCAUGGCUCAGGAUGAACGCUGGCGGCGUGCUUAACACAUGCAAGUCGAACGGGGGCGUGAUGUGCGAGAGGGAUAGUUUACUAGACUUCAAACUUUUCACGCCCUAGUGGCGGACGGGUGAGUAACGCGUGGGUAACCUGCCAUAUACAGGGGGAUAACACUUAGAAAUAGGUGCUAAUACCGCAUAAGCGCACAGGGGCGCAUGCCCCGGUGUGAAAAACUCCGGUGGUAUAUGAUGGACCCGCGUCUGAUUAGCCAGUUGGCAGGGUAACGGCCUACCAAAGCGACGAUCAGUAGCCGGCCUGAGAGGGCGGACGGCCACAUUGGGACUGAGACACGGCCCAAACUCCUACGGGAGGCAGCAGUGGGGGAUAUUGCACAAUGGGGGAAACCCUGAUGCAGCGACGCCGCGUGAGUGAAGAAGUAUUUCGGUAUGUAAAGCUCUAUCAGCAGGGAAGAAAAUGACAGUACCUGACCAAGAAGCCCCGGCUAACUACGUGCCAGCAGCCGCGGUAAUACGUAGGGGGCAAGCGUUAUCCGGAUUUACUGGGUGUAAAGGGAGCGUAGACGGUUAUGUAAGUCUGGAGUGAAAGCCCGGGGCCCAACCCCGGGACUGCUUUGGAAACUGUGUAACUGGAGUACAGGAGGGGCAGGCGGAAUUCCUGGUGUAGCGGUGAAAUGCGUAGAUAUCAGGAGGAACACCGGCGGCGAAGGCGGCCUGCUGGACUGAAACUGACGUUGAGGCUCGAAAGCGUGGGGAGCAAACAGGAUUAGAUACC
RNAcentral lists this ribosomal RNA (790 nucleotides) under uncultured bacterium. RNAcentral's name for it is "bacterial SSU rRNA". It matches the Rfam family "Bacterial small subunit ribosomal RNA", at positions 1 to 786 of the family's 1533-position model. The record is from RNAcentral.